GUAGUCCACGCCGUAAACGAUGAAUACUAGGUGUGGGGUUAUCAUGACCUCCGUGCCGCAGUUAACACAAUAAGUAUUCCGCCUGGGGAGUACGGUCGCAAGAUUAAAACUCAAAGGAAUUGACGGGGGCCCGCACAAGCAGCGGAGCAUGUGGUUUAAUUCGAAGCAACGCGAAGAACCUUACCUAGACUUGACAUCUCCUGAAUUACCGGUAAUGCGGGAAGCCCUUCGGGGCAGGAAGACAGGUGGUGCAUGGUUGUCGUCAGCUCGUGUCGUGAGAUGUUGGGUUAAGUCCCGCAACGAGCGCAACCCUUGUCGUUAGUUGCUACCAUUAAGUUGAGCACUCUAGCGAGACUGCCGCGGUUAACGCGGAGGAAGGUGGGGAUGACGUCAAAUCAUCAUGCCCCUUAUGUCUAGGGCUACACACGUGCUACAAUGGUCGGUACAAUGAGACGCAAUACCGCGAGGUGGAGCAAAAACUUAUAAAACCGAUCCCAGUUCGGAUUGCAGGCUGAAACUCGCCUGCAUGAAGCCGGAGUUGCUAGUAAUCGCGAAUCAGAAUGUCGCGGUGAAUACGUUCCCGGGCCUUGUACACACCGCCCGUCACACCAUGAGAGUUGGCAAUACCCGAAGUCCGUGAGGUAACCGCAAGGGGCCAGCGGCCGAAGGUAGGGUCAGCGAUUGGGGUGAAGUCGUAACAAGGUAGCCGUAGGAGAACCUC
Molecule: ribosomal RNA, 721 nt
Filed under: uncultured bacterium
Lineage: Bacteria
Description: bacterial SSU rRNA
Rfam family: Bacterial small subunit ribosomal RNA
Source: RNAcentral